ACCAGAACAGAUCUGCUCUAGUUCCAGAACGUAAUAACACGUUUAGUGUACGGAAAAUAUUCGUAUUUCUGUCCAAACCGCACCCCAAUUUCAUUCCUUAACAAAAUGUGCAAGUGCAUUGCUGGAACAUGUGUCUGUUGCUGCUGCCAAUGCGCCAUGAGCGUGUUCAUUUCGCUUCUGACGGUCUUCAUAUUGGUAGCCGUAGCGGUCGCAUUGGGAAUUUACUUCGGGCUGCUGAACGUUCACGAUACAGCCCCGAACGUAUCGGACUUUGUCCAUAAAACUGGCGACUCCAUUAAGGAUAGCAUUAAGGACAAGUUUAACUAGUUUAUGGACUGUUUAUACGGAUCUAAAUUGAAUCGAAAAUAUUUAUAUCUUAUUUAUGAAUAUCUAUACAACAAUUUAAUGUGCUACGAUACACAACGGCAUAAAAAUUUAAUCGAAAAUAAGUCGUACAAAACAGUGCUUUAAUCGCUACUCGCUAGUGCUUUAAUCGUCUACUCAGUCCACCAAACUGCAGCCAUAAUAACACAGCUUACCCCAGUAGUAGCGGCAAUAGACUAUUUGCAGUGAAAUAUGCUCUGGAAUCAUUCAAUCAGUUGGAGUUCCUGAUCCUAAACAUGAGCCAUGAGUGUCUUCAUUUCGCUCCUGACAGUCUUAUUGAUGGCUGUAACAAUGGCAUUGGGAAUUUACAUCGAGCAACUAAACGUCGACGAUACAGCUCAUGGCGGUAUCGGACUUUGUCCACAACGCUGACAACUCCAUUAGGGACAGCAUUAAGGACAAGUCCAGUUAGUUCUCUGCCUUUUUACAUGCCUGCCAAUUAUUUAAGGAAAUGUUUACAUCACAUUUAAGAAUCUCAAAACAAUAUAUUUAAUUCGCUUCUACCAAUAAUGGCAUAUAAAUUUACACAACGAAAGUGGUACAAAGCAGUGCAUUAUUCGACUACCGACACAUCACUGAUAUGUCAGCCAGUCGUACAGAUUCAAACCAUAACUACAUAGCUUACCAGAAGUAGCAGAAAUAGACUAUAUGCAAAAGAAAUUUGCUCAGGAAACUCUAAUGCAAUUGGCGAAUUACAUCGUGCAACAUUUAUGUUGUAUUCUUUUUGCGAUCGCCAUUGCCGUUGCCAUUUAUUAUGGAGUUAUUCAAGUCGACGAAGAUGCUUCCGAUGCAAUCAAGGAGACGGGAUUCAAAAUUAAGCAUUCCAUUAAAGAUGGUUUGAAAAAACUAAGCG
Molecule: long non-coding RNA, 1237 nt
Organism: Anopheles moucheti
Lineage: Eukaryota; Metazoa; Arthropoda; Insecta; Diptera; Culicidae
Exons: 4
Source: RefSeq, a predicted model, not a curated record